CGUAGGGGGCAAGCGUUGUCCGGAAUUACUGGGCGUAAAGGGCGUGUAGGUGGGUAAUUAAGUCAUGGGUGAAAACUGCGAGCUCAACUUGCAGACUGCCUAUGAAACUGGAUAUCUUGAGGGCAGGAGAGGAAAGUGGAAUUCCUAGUGUAGCGGUGAAAUGCGUAGAUAUUAGGAGGAACACCAGUGGCGAAGGCGACUUUCUGGACUGUCCCUGACACUGAGGCGCGAAAGCUAGGGGAGCGAACGGGAUUAGAUACCCCGGUAGUCCUAGCCGUAAACGAUGGGUACUAGGUGUGGGAGGUAUCGACCCCUUCCGUGCCGGAGUUAACACAUUAAGUACCCCGCCUGGGGAGUACGGCCGCAAGGUUG
RNAcentral lists this ribosomal RNA (372 nucleotides) under uncultured organism. RNAcentral describes it as "bacterial SSU rRNA". It matches the Rfam family "Bacterial small subunit ribosomal RNA", at positions 526 to 896 of the family's 1533-position model. The record is from RNAcentral.